Molecule: unclassified non-coding RNA, 352 nt
Filed under: soil metagenome
Description: partial contains 5.8S ribosomal RNA, internal transcribed spacer 2, and large subunit ribosomal RNA
Rfam family: 5.8S ribosomal RNA (bases 1-120)
Source: RNAcentral
GAUGAAGAACGCAGCGAAAUGCCAUAAGUAAUGUGAAUUGCAGAAUUCAGUGAAUCAUCGAAUCUUUGAACGCACAUUGCGCCCGCCAGUAUUCUGGCGGGCAUGCCUGUUCGAGCGUCAUUUCAACCCUCAGGCCCCCAGUGCCUGGUGUUGGGGAUCGGCCCAGCCUUCCUGUAAGGCCGCCGGCCCCGAAAUCUAGUGGCGGUCUCGCUGUAGUCCUCCUCUGCGUAGUAGCACAACCUCGCAGUUGGAACGCGGCGGUGGCCAUGCCGUUAAACACCCCACUUCUGAAAGUUGACCUCGGAUCAGGUAGGAAUACCCGCUGAACUUAAGCAUAUCAAUAAGCGGAGGA